RNAcentral lists this ribosomal RNA (305 nucleotides) under uncultured bacterium. Its description in RNAcentral is "bacterial SSU rRNA". It matches the Rfam family "Bacterial small subunit ribosomal RNA", at positions 333 to 655 of the family's 1533-position model. The record is from RNAcentral.
AUGGACCUACGGGGCGCAGCAGUGGGGAAUAUUGCACAAUGGGGGAAACCCUGAUGCAGCGACGCCGCGUGAGUGAAGAAGUAUUUCGGUAUGUAAAGCUCUAUCAGCAGGAAAGAUAAUGACGGUACCUGACUAAGAAGCCCCGGCUAACUACGUGCCGGCAGCCGCGGUAAUACGUAGGGGGCAAGCGUUAUCCGGAUUUACUGGGUGUAAAGGGAGCGUAGACGGCAGCGCAAGUCUGGAGUGAAAUGCCGGGGCUCAACCCCGGAACUGCUUUGGAAACUGUGCGGCUCGAGUGCGGGAGG